Molecule: long non-coding RNA, 7337 nt
Organism: Gopherus flavomarginatus (Mexican gopher tortoise)
Lineage: Eukaryota; Metazoa; Chordata; Testudines; Testudinidae
Exons: 2
Source: RefSeq, a predicted model, not a curated record
UGAAAUAUUGUGUGGUCAGCUCUAGAUACUUUCUUAAUGAAUGAAUGCGAGUAUGGAGAAGAGUAACAGGAAUUAAGAAGCUGGAAGGACUCAUUUAUAGAGAACUAAGACCCCAGUCCUAAAAUGAGAGCUGUGCAAAGGGAAUGAGACUCACCCAGUGUUCAUUGCAGGAUUGGGGCCUAAAAUAAUUGUCAUGUCCUUUUUUACUAAGAAGUGUUGUUAUUCUUAUUUGGCUUAUGCAAUUUGGUCAAGCCAAGCCACAGUGUUCUUAUCAAUGAUGUUCAAGGCAUGAAGGCCUCCAGGAAGCUGUCAUUUUGCAGUCCUCAACAAUAUGUCAUGGUUUGUGGCUGCCCACAUAGACAUAGUGGACUAUCUCUAAAAUGCCACCGAAAUUCUGCUGCAGCACAAAUUCCAUGUCUGGUACAAAACUGGUCCAGAAGGCUUCAUUGCCUUUGCGUAAAUCAAACCUGGGUUGACGUUGAGUGGGAUCCAAGACAAGGUAAUAAUUUGUCACUUACUUUGCGAACCAUGAAACCCAUUUUGUGUCCUCUACCAUAAAUCCCUCACUCAGUAAAUUUAUCCACAGCGGGCGAUGUGAGGGCAGACGACCAUGUGAUGGAUUAAACAAGUCUUUAAUUAACGGAAGAUAUGGCAUAUCAUGCAAUUCUGUCAUGAGCUUUGCGACACUUCCUGAGAACACUGGGCAGAGCAAUAUUGCAGAGAACUAGUAACCAAGGUAGAGGAGAAUUAAGUGUACCUGAAAGGAUACGCAUGGUGGAAUUAAGUUGUAGAUCAUCCUUGUAUGAGAUGAGCGAGCCCAAACUGAUGCACAGUACUCCACUGCUGAACAACAGAGUGCCAAGGCUGAAGUAAAUACUUUUUGGGUGUUGACGCCGCAUAUCGUUCUGGCCAGUUUUCCGAGCAGGUUGUUGUACAUUUUGACCUUAGUCGUUGUCUUGUCUAAGAAGUGAAGAGGGAAGAUUAUGAGAUCAGUUUACAAAUAUUUACAAAAGGUAAACAAGAAGGAAAAAGAGGAACUAUUUAUGGUAGUAGAUGGCAGUAUAACCAAAGUGCCAUCUACUCUGCAGUAUGGCAGGUCAGAAAACAAAUCAGAAUAAAAUGUAGAUUAAAAAAUGGGAAAACGUCUCACAAUGUUUUUUCUUUUUCCAGCUUCCCCUACUCUGCAACAAGCUAAACUUCAAUUCUGCAAUAGUAUGGCACAACAAACUGGCAGUUUUACAAUAACACCAUUUAAGUUUAAAAAAUUAAAAAUUGACAAUUUACAAAUUUUUCUUUAGGUUUCAAAGUUGAUCCAUUGAGCUAUAUAGAGCAGUUUAAGCCUUUUAGAACUACAGUUACAGAAUGUCCGUAAACUCAAGAAGACACCACUGCAUUUGUUUGUACACUGAACACUUUCAGCAAUAUCUUCUAUGAGGGCUAGCAAUAUUUUUAAGUGAAAUUUUAAAUUGGGAAACCCAGUGCAAAGGCAAGAGGUAGAUUCCACAGCCACAAAAAUCACUGUCUAUGUACAGACCUAGGAGAGAGAACACUUGGAGACACAUUCCAUUUUUUCUAUAAUUUACACAACAAUGCUGUCAUCAUAACCAAGGAGAGAGGUGCAACAUAAUCUGCCUAAUAAAUGUAUAUAAAUGCAGCUGCAGACAUUUUCUAAAAUCUUAUAUAUUCAGAGAGCAUGUGCACACUGAUAGUACUGUCGUAGUGACUGAACUGAGAAUUCAAAUGUGGAGGGGCUAAAACCUUUACAUGGGCAACCUCUCCUAUGCAAAAUAUAUAUUUGUAAUUGAUACCAUCAGGUGUAUUCCAACAGCAAAUAUUUGCUCUUCUGACAUAUCUUUAUCAUCCAGAGACUUGUGUCUUCCUUGGCAGCGAGUGAUGUUUUAGCAGUAGCCAGAGAAGGCUGGGCAACACCCCUUCUAAUUCCCCACGUUCACUUUGUAUAGCAAAGUUGGGGGAGGGGGUUGUGAAAGGAGAUAAUGUGUGUACCCAGGAUGUGUGAUCCAUAGAAGGCUUGAUUUCUAGAAAGCAGGCAAACUUUCAUUUAGGUAUCCAUACCAUGCAGGGGAAGGGACAAGAAAGUAUGUAGUGAGGAGAGAGGGGAUGAUCCUACAACACCUCACUCAGAGUCCACUACAGAAAUAUGAACAUGGGCAGGAAAUAAGACAAUAAAAUAGCCGUAAUUAAUAAUAAGAAAGCAGGUAGAAACUAAAGAAACCGCACUAAUAUACUACAGUAACCAGAGUAGACAACUAGCAAUAUUAAUACUAUUACUCAAAAUGGUCUAUUUUCCCCAAUGUCUGCAAUAAGCAAAUACAGAACUUAAAAUAAAAUUAUCUUAGAAGUUGCCUCUUUCUAGCUUUUUGGCCCCUUCCUCUCAUUUCCCUUCCCAUCUCUCACUCAUUCUCUGCCUUCUCACCAUUUUUUCUCAUUCACAUUUCUAUACAGUGUAUUCUCUUAUAUUUAUUAGUCCUUUCAGGAUUUCACCUUCUGUAGGUCUCCCCCACUAUCAUCAACUGUCUUCUUCCAUUGACCCCGUUGGAUUUCCACACUUAGCAUUUCCUUCUUUGCCACCUUUGUUCCUCCCCCUGUUCCCCAGGAUUUUCACUCCACUCUCCACCCUGGGAGUCUCCCCUCCCCUUUUUUGGAUUCCCCUUCAUCCUCUCUUUCCCUCAUUCCCAUGAGAUUCUCUCCACCAUCCCCUCACUACUUUCCUGGAAUUUUCUUCUCCCCUUUUGUCACUCUUUACAAGGCCCCAAGAGGCAGGACCACAGUGAUAGAAGAAGAGAGACAGAAAGAGGCUGGGGACCCUCCAAGGCAAGGGGUAUUUCUCUCUUACUCCUCACACCUUACUCUCCUUCACUGCAGGGUUAGCAGUGUGAGGAAGAAGAGACUAAUGCUGACAGGCCAGUGGGGGUUGCUAUAAUGCUCCUCUGCACUCAGCUGUGGUGCUGGAAGUGGCUUGAAAAACAGCUUUUCUACCUCUUCCCAGAUGCUGGAUAAACGAGGCAGGGGGCAACAGGACCACAGAGAUAAAUGCAGAGCUGUUCUACAAUCUGUUAGAUCAUAGAAUUGUCCCACAAGGGAAAUAAGAAUGUAAGAAUGGCCCUAUUGGGUCAGACCAAAGGUCCAUCUAGCCCAGUAUCCUGUCUUCCGACAGUGGCCAGUGCCAGGUACCCCAGAAGAAAUGAACUGAACAGGUAAUCAUCAAGGGACACUAUUCCUCCCAUCCUGGCUAAUAUCCAUUGAUGGACCUAUCAGUAGUGAGAUCCCCAUUGCUUGGGACAUACACGUCAAGCAUGGCAAUGUGCUAGUUAAAAUCCUGCAUUGGCAGGGGCUGGACCUGGUGGACUAAGAGGUCUUUUCCAGCUCUAAUUUCAAUCUUUCUGUGACUCCACAGGGAAAUCCAAUCUAUCUCACAAAGCUCCUUUGCUUGCAGUAAACAUCAGAGCUAAGUGGUUGCCGCUGCAUGGUAGCUUCAUUCUGGAUUCUAUUUAACAUAAAUAAGUUCCACAGCUGCUCCUGAAGCACUGGGAAUUUCACAGCUCAAAGGGACAUUGUCAAUGCCACAUUUCUAAUUUGUUAAGGAGUGGGUGGAAUGGACUUCUUACAAAAUUGCCAUGAACAGAAUGGUUUAAAGCAAAAUAUUUACAAAAUCAGCUAACAUUAUUUUGAAUGAUCCCUUGUCAUUUCAGUCAGGGCAUAAUAGCAUGUUGCAGGAGAACCCGCCAUCUGCUGCUGUCCGGGAAUGUGAGUGAAACACAAGUGGGAGGCCACAGCCUUCCUGUGUGGCCUUCGACUAGUCACUUAACUCCUCCAUACUAUCACUCUGUGAAAUGGGGAGCAGGGGAAUGAGGAAAACUUCAUAUUUAUAGAGCAUUUUGAGAACUGUGGAGGAAAGAACUGAAGUGCACAGUAUUAUUUAUUAUCAAAAGUGAGCAAAUGUGGGGAGAAGAAAGCAUGGUUAAUAUUCUUUCCAUUCUGGUAAUGUCUAGUUAUUUCUAACAAUGGUAAGGAAUGUUUCCUAACAAGCUAUGUUGACAGUGUCCUAACUGUGAUUUAAUAGAUGGGGCACCAGCAUGCACAGCAAAACCCUGCUCGGCACCAUGAUCAGUACAGUAUCGUGUGCUUCCUGGAUUGCCAUUGAGUAGGAGUCGGCAACCUUUCAGAAGUGGUGUGCUGAGUCUUCAUUUAUUCACUCUAAUUUAAGGUUUCGCGUGCCAGUAAUACAUUUUAACAUUUUUAGAAGGUCUCUUUCUAUAAGUCUCUAAUAUAUAACUAAACUAUUGUUGUAUGUAAAGUAAAUAAGGUUUUAAAAAUGUUUAAGAAGCUUCAUUUAAAAUUAAAUUAAAAUGCAGAGCCCCCUGGACUGAUGGCCAGGACCCGGGCAGUGUGAAUGCCACUGAAAAUCAGCUCGUGUGCUGCCUUCGGCACGCGUACCAUAGAUUGCCUACCCCAUAAAGGGCAUGGAGUCAAUACUGAGCCAUACCGAGGGAUUCCUUGGCACUCUUAUGGAAAGGCGGGUGGGCCAGCUUCCCUGGACCAACUUAGCAAAGGCUUUUGUGGUUUUUACGGACAUUUAAUAAAGGAAUCCUUGCCUGACACAGAAGCAGCGCCUUUAUAGAUUUUGCUAUAUAGUGUUUGAAGAAAAAUACAUACAUAUUAAAUGUAUAAAAUACAUUUCAUAUAUUGAUCCUAGUUAAAGUUUAUUACAUUCAUCCAAAGCAGGUUAUGUUACUUGAAGGUAACUUUCUGUAAUAAGAUUGUGAGCUCUUUGGGGCAGAGUCUGAUUUCAGUGUGUGUUUUACAUACAUAAAGGAGCUAGCACAAUGAGACUCUGAUCUAUGACUGGGGCUUCUAGGCACUACCACAAUACAAAUACUAAAUAAAUAAUAAUAAGACCACUGCAUCUUUCCAAGCUCAUUUCACAUCCAGCUGGAAUUUAGCAAUACCUUACUAGGAAACAAAUAAUGCAGGAAAUGGGAAAGAGGGACGGAAUUUGAUGAACGGCCCUACAACCAAUGAAUAAGACUGAAAAAUUGAAGGGCAGUUAUCAUUCUAGGAGAAUAAAAGUUAUAAAGGAGAGAAUGCUGAGAUCGGGCACUGAGUCUGGUCAAAGAUUCACAUCAGCAUAGAAUAGAUAAUCCAGCCUUCGACAGAAUUAACUGUUACCUGUCAGAAAGUAUCUCCGGUACUAUGACUAUAGCUUAAAGCCAAUCAAUAAUCCAGGCACAAAGAGCAGAGGAAAGAGAAUCCAUAGCCAUAUGUCACUUAUCCUUAUAACUGAACAAAAUGUACCAGCUGUUCAUGUAUAAGAUUUACAGCCUUUGGUAAACAUGUGGACAACUUCAGAUUAAUAGAUGCCUAUAUAAAAAUGAAGCAAUUAUUAAAUAUAUUGAACAUCACAAUAAUUAUAGAUUACAUUUUUAAACAUUCUCAAAGUUAAAAUAUUUGAUUCAAUUGUAAUUAAAUACAAAUGUCAACCUAAAAACUAAUUUUAAAAGUUGUAUUUUUGGGGGUGAAUGUGUUAGAAAUAUUUUAAUGAUUACAUAUAAAAUGCUGUAGAUGUGAAUAGUGCUUAUUUCAUGGAAAAUGCAAUUUGAUGCCUGAAGCAGUUAGAACCCAAUUCAAACAGGAAAGUAGCAUCCAUGUAAGUACUUGAAAAGAGCUGAGAGUUUCUUUAAGAAAACACUAGUAUUUCCACAUGACCUACUGAAGGGAAGGAGCACUGGUAUGCUGCCAAAUUCCAAGAGAGCUGAGCAGUGAUUAGAGUUUAACUCCAGCAUAGGAGAGAAAUGUUUUCCUUUGAUAUCCCAACUCUAAAAAAAAUUCCACAGCCCUCUGACUUCUCAAAUUCAAAAACAUCCAAUGAAUACCAGUAAAGGGAUUUCACUUGGGAGAAACUUCCAGUGUAUUUCAAUUUUGUAAUUCAGCAAAACAUCCAAUAAUUUUUCACUUCAUGCAGACACAUAGCAUGCCAAUGUGUGUGUGUGUAAUUCUGUAGCCCUGAGCAGCAUGGGAGACAAGCUAAUUUUUUCAAUAAAUCAGAUUUAGAGAUUACUACAGUAUGGGGCAAGGACAAAGGCCCCCAUCCUGCUCCCACUGAAAAUUCUGGCACUGAUCUUCAGUAGAAGCAGAACUGAACCAUAGAUGGGGACUGGUGCAGCAAUCCAAUAUUAACUUGCAGGGGAAGAGUGCAGCUCACGGCUCUAGCUCAGUUUCAAUUUGGCUGCAGAAGCAGCAGACAGAACCCCCAGGAUGAGGACAAUGCUGUGUGUCACUUAGUGCUGAUCCCUCUGGCCAACUCAGGAGCAGUUUUGAUGGACCUUGUAGAGAACUGAGUUUAGUUCUCAGCUAAAGGGCUAGGUAGGCUGACAAGGGCAGGGGAAAGAAAGUACUGUGGGGGACAGCGUGUGGAAAAGAAGGAUCCAGUGAGGUUCCCUGAAAGGCUCAGGCAUUGUUGAAAAUAAAGUGCUCUUUUCUCAGACCUACAGGUCCGCCUAGCUUACCCUGGAAAUGUACUGAACAGCUUUCCAAGGAUGUAGAAUAACAGACAGCGUUCACCAGUGUCUGACAGGCUCUUUGGCCAGAUAGCCUCAUCAGAGCUUGCACAUGUGACUUGUGCCUGAAAGUUCUGCCAAAUAUAGGCCUUAAAGGAAAAUUGCAUCUCAUUUGUUCAUCCCACCUUUUACAAGUUCACAUGCUUUUAUAGAACCCGAACCACCAAAAAAGAAAAUCAACCUUCUUCUGGUGGCAUCUGAUGCAGAUAAUGAAAAUGAACGUGUGUCGGUCCACACUGUUUGGACUGUUAUCGAGCAGAACUCAUCAUCAGCAUGGACGCAUGUCUCCUGGGAUGGUGUUUGACGCAUGAAGGGAUAUACUAAUCUUUAGCGCAUCUGGCAUGUAAAUAUCUUGGGAUGCUGGCUACAACACUGCCAUGAGAAGGCCUGUUCUCACUUUCAGGUGACGUAAACAAGAAGCGGGCAGCAUCGUCUCUUGCAAAUGUAAACAAACUUGUAUGUCUGAGCGAUUGGCUGAAUAAGAAGUAGGACCAAGUGGACCUGUAGGCUCUAAAGUUUGAUAUUGUUUUAUUUUUGAAUGAAGGUUGUUUUUGUACAUAAUUCUACAUUUAUCAACAUUCAUGAUAAAGAGAUUGCACUACAGUACUUGUAUUAGGUGAAUUAAAAAAUACUAUUUAUUUUGUUUUUUACAGUGCAAAUAUAAAGUGAGCACUGCACACUUUGUAUUCCUUGUAACUGAAAUCAAUACAUCUGAAAAUGUAGAAAACGUCCAAAAAUAUUUCAAUGAAUGUUAUUCAAUUA